This is a non-coding RNA of Oryza sativa Japonica Group (Japanese rice), 2640 nucleotides long. The record is from RefSeq and is a predicted model, not a curated record. Lineage: Eukaryota; Viridiplantae; Streptophyta; Magnoliopsida; Poales; Poaceae.
UCGACGUCCUUAUCCACUCGCAUCUCUUGAUCGGUCGCUCUACCUCAUCCACUCGCUCCUCUCACUCCUCACUCCAUCCACUCGCAUCCCCCUCCCCUCUCGCCCUCUCCCGCCUCCUCCUCCUUCUCCUGGCAGCGAUGCGCUGACAGCGGCAGCGAUCGCAAGGAGGCAGCGGCAGUGGCCCCUUCUCCAGCGGCGGCUACCCCCUUCUCCUUGCAGCGGUACCUUCUCCCGGUAGCGGUGGCGGCUGCAAGGAGACAGCGGCGGCGGCCGCAAGGAGGCAGUGGUGGAGGUCCCCUUCUCAUUGCAGCGGCGGUGGCCCCUUCUUCUGGUAGAUAUCAUGCCAACGUCAGCGAGAUGUCAGCAUGAAACCUAGGCACAGAUGCCAUGCUUCUUCCAUGUUCUCAUGUUGAAAAUUCAUGCCAAUUAUUUCUAUCACACUCAAUGACGAUUGCGGCGGCGAAGCCUGCAAUUAACACUACAUAUUGCCUUGUGCAGGUGAUAUCAUCACCAAUUCACCAUUAGCUAUCUUACUUGCCUCCUAUAAAUACCCUCAGCCGGAAGGGUUAUUCGUAUGCAUCAAAAACACACAACGCUAACUCAUCACGAGUUUGAUACACAUAGUAAUCCUACGUAAUCAAGCUUAGAUUGUGUUAAUCAACUCAAUACUGCAAAAAAUCGUUUUUGCAGGCGGUCAAAUUAGGGUAAAUUAAGUGACUGUAAGCUUUGUUAAACGCCAUGGAUUUGAUGAAGAGUAAUCCGCUUCAGGGGAGCCCAUGGAGCUUGUUGAACUUGCUGGUAUUGAUCAUUGUCGCCGCCAUGAUCUGCGGCGAGCUAUGUCGUCGUCGUCGUCGUCGUCGUGGCGACGAGAAUGGUGGCGCCACGAGGCUGCCUCCGGGGCCAUGGCGGCUGCCGUUCGUCGGCAGCCUGCACCACCUCGCGGUGAUGAGGCCGCGCGGGGUGGUGGUGCACCGCGCGCUGGCCGAGCUGGCGCGGCGGCACGACGCCCCCGUCAUGUACCUCCGCCUCGGCGAGCUCCCCGUCGUGGUGGCGUCGUCGCCGGAGGCCGCGCGCGAGGUCCUCAAGACGCACGACGCGGCGUUCGCCACCCGCGCCAUGAGCGUCACGGUGAGGGAGUCCAUCGGCGACAAGGUCGGCAUCCUCUUCUCCCCCUACGGCAAGAAGUGGCGCCAGCUCCGCGGCAUCUGCACCCUCGAGCUGCUCAGCGUGAAGCGGGUGCGCUCGUUCCGCCCCAUCCGGGAGGAGCAGGUCGCCCGCCUCGUCGACGCCAUCGCCGCCGCCGCGGCGUCGUCCACGGCGGAGGCGGCGGCGGUGAACAUCAGCAGGCAGAUCACCGGGCCGAUGACGGACCUGGCGCUGCGCGCAAUCAUGGGGGAGUGCUUCCGGUGGCGGGAGGAGUUCCUGGAGACGCUGGCGGAGGCGCUCAAGAAGACGACCGGGCUCGGCGUCGCCGACAUGUUCCCGUCGUCGCGGCUCCUCCGCGCCGUCGGGAGCACGGUGCGCGACGUGAAGCUGCUGAACGCCAAGCUGUUCGAGCUGGUGGAGUGCGCCAUCGAGCAGCAUCGGGAGCAGAUUAGAGCGGCUCACGACAACGGCGGCGACGACGACGACGCGCAUGGCCAUGGCGACAAGGAGUGCUUCCUGAAUACUCUGAUGAGAAUUCAGAAGGAAGGUGAUGAUCUUGAUGACACUCACCAUGGCAACCGUCAAAGCUGUCAUUCUUGACAUGUUUGCAGGUGGAAGUGAAUCAACAUCAACAACACUUGAAUGGGCCCUGUCAGAGCUUGUGAGGAACCCUCAUGUGAUGCAAAAGGCACAAGCAGAGAUACGACAUGCUUUGCAAGGCAGGACUAGGGUAACUGAAGAUGAUUUAAUUAAUUUAAAGUACCCAAAGAACAUAAUCAAGGAAACACUACGGUUACACCCUGUAGCACCUCUACUUGUCCCAAAAGAGUGUCAGGAGUCGUGUAAAAUCCUCGGCUAUGAUGUUCCUAAGGGAACAAUCAUGUUCGUAAAUGCAUGGGCUAUCGGCAGAGACCCUAGAUAUUGGAACGAUGCAGAAGUGUUUAUGCCAGAGCGUUUUGAGAAAGUUGCAGUUGAUUUCAGAGGCACAAACUUUGAGUUCAAACCAUUUGGAGCAGGACGGAGGAUGUGCCCAGGAAUAACAUUUGCAAAUGCAACAAUCGAAAUGGCCCUCACUGCUCUUCUAUACCACUUCGAUUGGCAUCUCCCUCCAGGUGUAACACCGGAUGGGUUGGACAUGGAGGAGGAAUUCGGCAUGAGCGUUUCAAGGAAAAGGGAUCUUUAUCUACGACCGACACUCCAUAUGGGACUUGAAACAAUAUGAUGAAUACACGCGUGUUGUCAUGGAAAAUGUUGAUAAUAGCCGAAUGGUGUAUGUACCUAGUAGAAAAAAAAUACUUUCUGCAAAUUAUAGUACCUAUACUUACAAGAUGUUUGGGAGGUAGGAACUCCUGAGAUAUUCAGAUAUUCCAGAGCUCCGAGUGCAUUAGUAUAGAAAUUCAUGCACGAACACAAUAUAUAUAAGGCGUUGCUGUCAUGUACAAGAGCUGUGUUUUUUAAAGAUAAAAGUACUGUACGUUUCCAGUUGUAAUGUAA